RNAcentral lists this non-coding RNA (45 nucleotides) under Schistosoma mansoni. Lineage: Eukaryota; Metazoa; Platyhelminthes; Trematoda; Strigeidida; Schistosomatidae. The record is from RNAcentral.
AUGCAGAUGACGAGUCCCAAAUAGGACGAAACCCGCAUCCUGGAU